RNAcentral lists this ribosomal RNA (253 nucleotides) under uncultured bacterium. Its description in RNAcentral is "partial 16S ribosomal RNA". It matches the Rfam family "Bacterial small subunit ribosomal RNA", at positions 524 to 776 of the family's 1533-position model. The record is from RNAcentral.
UACGUAGGGGGCGAGCGUUGUCCGGAUUUAUUGGGCGUAAAGAGCGUGUAGGCGGUUCGGUAAGUCUGUCGUGAAAUCCUGAGGCUCAACCUCGGGCGUGCGAUGGAUACUGCCGGGCUAGAGGGUGGUAGAGGCGAGUGGAAUUCCCGGUGUAGCGGUGAAAUGCGCAGAUAUCGGGAGGAACACCAGUAGCGAAGGCGGCUCGCUGGGCCACACCUGACGCUGAGACGCGAAAGCUAGGGGAGCAAACAGG